UCAACCCUCAAGCCUGGCUUGGUGUUGGACGUUGCGAUCGUCGUGAUGGACGAUCCGUCCCGAAGACAAUGACGGCGUGGCGAGGACCCCCCGGUACAUGGAGCUUUCACGGCACGUACUGGUUCGGCCUCGCGACCCGGCCUCGGUGGACCGCCCCCCUGGGGCGGUUCGCUCGGUUUUUUCUCA
Molecule: unclassified non-coding RNA, 186 nt
Filed under: uncultured Ascomycota
Lineage: Eukaryota; Fungi; Ascomycota
Description: sequence contains ITS2
Source: RNAcentral